Molecule: ribosomal RNA, 917 nt
Filed under: uncultured bacterium
Lineage: Bacteria
Description: bacterial SSU rRNA
Rfam family: Bacterial small subunit ribosomal RNA
Source: RNAcentral
AGAGUUUGAUCCUGGCUCAGACGAACGCUGGCGGCGUGCCUAAUACAUGCAAGUCGAGCGAAGUUUUUCUGGUGCUUGCACUAGAAAAACUUACCGGCGAACGGGUGAGUAACACGUAAAGAACCUGCCUCAUAGACGGGGACAACUAUUGGAAACGAUAGCUAAUACCGGAUAACAGCAUAAAUCGCAUGAUAUAUGUUUAAAAGUUGGUUUCGGCUAACACUAUGAGAUGGCUUUGCGGCGCAUUAGCUAGUUGGUGGGGUAAAGGCCUACCAAGGCGACGAUGCAUAGCCGACCUGAGAGGGUGAUCGGCCACACUGGGACUGAGACACGGCCCAGACUCCUACGGGAGGCAGCAGUAGGGAAUCUUCCGCAAUGGGCGAAAGCCUGACGGAGCAACGCCGCGUGAGUGAAGAAGGAUUUCGGUUCGUAAAGCUCUGUUGUUAGGGAAGAAUGAUUGUAUAGUAACUAUAUACAGUAGAGACGGUACCUAACCAGAAAGCCACGGCUAACUACGUGCCAGCAGCCGCGGUAAUACGUACGUGGCAAGCGUUGUCCGGAAUUAUUGGGCGUAAAGCGCGCGCAGGUGGUUUAAUAAGUCUGAUGUGAAAGCCCACGGCUCAACCGUGCAGGGUCAUUGGAAACUGUUAAACUUGAGUGCAGGAGAGGAAAAGUGCAAUGUCCUAGUGUAGCGUUGAAAUGCGUAUAGAUUAGCAGCACACCAGUGGCGACGCUGCUUUUUGGACUGUACUGACGCUGAGACGCGAAGCGUGCAGAGCAACAGAUUAGAUGCCCUGCUAGUCACGACGUAAACGAUGAUGCCUGCUGUCGUACUGUAUCAGCGCUAAGCGAAGGCAUAGCAUCAACUGGGAGUACGACGCACGGUGAACUCAAGGAAUGACCGGGGACCGCACCAG